CAAGAGGACAGAGGAGCCAGAUCGCAGUGGCGACUACAACUCCUGCCGAUGUCGAGGCCCAGUUCUCCCUUCCCACCACCCCAGGCUCAUUGUGCUAGGUGCUGUAGCAAACCACCAUCCAGGGAUCAAGACAUCAGAUAUAAGAAAAUCCAUUAACACAAGAAUUUGUGAGUUAAGGCACCAGGUGAAGCGAAAAAACAAGAUGGACGAUUAAAUAGGGUACAAGACUGGUUUUUUUGGCCCUGUUCCGGACCUUGUUUUAAUGAGUGAUCAGCUCAUGUUUAAAGUUGUCACCAGGUGAAACAAAAAACAAGAUUGUUAAAUAGGAUAACAGACUGCUCUUUUUGGCCCUGUAUGAAAUAACAAUGCAUCAUUUAUUAACUAUACCUAUAUAAAAUGUAAUACAUUUUCCCUUCAUUAUGUAAUAACACCUCCUUUUGUAAUAAUUUGCCCAUUAUGUAGUAAACAAGUUCAAUGCAAAUAUGUAAUACAUGUCGCCACAUUUUGAAAUAUAUUAUUACAUAUUGCAGUGGUUAUUACAAAAUGAGUUGCAAACAAUAACAUUACAACUGUUUAUUUAUUCAACCAUGAAUCAUCCUUACUCAUAAUUAAUUUAAAAAUAUUUCAGUAGAAUAUCUUUCAUUGGCCAAAACUAGAUCAAGUGUUCAUUCAUUAGCCAACAUGAAUAUCAACAUCAAUUUUGGGAUAUAUUUACAGUUUGGUUAUGGUUACAUAAUGAAUAUUACAGUUUUUUAAAAGGGCAACUCACGCAUUUUGUAAUAACCAUUGCAAAAUGUAAUAAUUUAUUACAAAAUGUAGGGAAAUUUAUUUUAUAUUGCGUUCAGGCUGUUGAUUACAGAAUGCAGCAGAUUAUUACAAAAUGUGGGUU
Long non-coding RNA from Gymnodraco acuticeps, 889 nucleotides. RefSeq lists it as uncharacterized. The transcript is spliced from 3 exons. NCBI's taxonomy places the organism in Eukaryota, Metazoa, Chordata, Actinopteri, Perciformes, Bathydraconidae. The record is from RefSeq and is a predicted model, not a curated record.